UUUUGAAAUGGUCUUGGAUGUGGUGUUUGGGAGGGGACCCAAAUGUCUGGCAGGAACUUUUCAGUCUCUGGAAUUGGAGGGACCACCAGACUUCCAGCUGCAGGGGAUGGUCUGCCCAGUAACAGAGACUCAUUGUUCUGGUUUGAGGCUUCUGCUACACCAUCAAUACUAGAUCCUCACCAGGACUCCUCUCAGAUAUCCUGAUGUGGCCCUGUGUCAUGGAGAUCAUGGCUUUGGAUCUGUAGGAUCAGCCCCUUCACACACUCCAGCAGUUCAUCGAUAGGCAUAUAGAAAUCUGGGGAUCCUGCUGGUGGCCUGUGGCCCAGGAGGACAGAGCACUCCCAAGAAGACUCCUACUGGGCAUCAUGUAGCGAGGGUUCGGGUCACAACACUCCUCAGAUGACCUCAGAUACCCAGAGGCCCCGAGUGCCACUAAGAUGAGCAAGUAAGUGGUGGAGAGAUGGAAGAGAAAGAGAAGCAGAAGUGUGUGAGCUGGUAGUGAGGAACAGCCUGAUGUGAGUAGCCAGAAAUGCCAUCUGACGCUGUGGUGAGGUCCUUGGCCAUGCUGCUGCUGAGAGCCAUGUCUGUGUCCAUGGCCCUGCAGCAGCAAAGAUCAUGCAACAUCCUGGUUGGGACUGUCACCUGGGGUUAUGUUGAUGUUUGCGCAUCCCUAUGUGCAGAGCUUGCCCCACCCCUCACCAACUGUAGUACUCAGGAGAAUGGGCCAGCACUUCUCCUGUGUAGAGCUGAGCUACGUUGCAGGGAGAAUUGGCCCCUCCCCUCAUUAGGUGUAUGAUGGUAUGGUUGCAAGAAAUGCCCUCCUCCUUCUUACCUCUUGCUACCUCCAUUCCUUGGAAAGAGAGCUGGCCCCGCCCCUAGCCUGAGCAUUGUGAGAGAGUUGCCCUUCUCUUCUCAGUAGAGAGAGUUUUGAGGUCUCCUCCUUAUGUUCUGCCCAGUAUGGAAGACAGCCUCCUCUUGGCUGCCUGCAGAAGAUGUAGAACUCUCAGCUUCUUCUCCAGCACCAUUUCUACCUGGAUGCUGCCAUGCUCCCUGUCAUGGUAAUUAUGGACUGAAUCUUUGAAACUGUAAGCCAGCCCCAAUUAAAUGUUGUCCUUUAUAAAA
This 1122-nucleotide long non-coding RNA is filed under the name Mus musculus (house mouse). RNAcentral describes it as "predicted gene 5535". The record is from RNAcentral. Lineage: Eukaryota; Metazoa; Chordata; Mammalia; Rodentia; Muridae.